RNAcentral lists this ribosomal RNA (420 nucleotides) under uncultured Bythopirellula sp. RNAcentral describes it as "bacterial SSU rRNA". It matches the Rfam family "Bacterial small subunit ribosomal RNA", at positions 353 to 772 of the family's 1533-position model. The record is from RNAcentral. Lineage: Bacteria; Pseudomonadati; Planctomycetota; Planctomycetia; Pirellulales; Lacipirellulaceae.
AGUCGAGAAUCUUCGGCAAUGGGCGAAAGCCUGACCGAGCGAUGCCGCGUGCGGGAUGAAGGCCUUCGGGUUGUAAACCGCUGUCAGUUGGGAGGAAGGACUCGUGAAGAGCGAGUUUUGACCUAUCUUCAGAGGAAGGACGGGCUAAGUUCGUGCCAGCAGCCGCGGUAACACGAACCGUCCAAACGUUAUUCGGAAUUAUUGGGCUUAAAGGGUGCGUAGGCGGCGCAGUAAGUGAGGUGUGAAAGCCCUCGGCUCAACCGAGGAAUUGCGCUUCAUACUGCUGUGCUUGAGGGAGACAGAGGUAAGCGGAACUGAUGGUGGAGCGGUGAAAUGCGUUGAUAUCAUCAGGAACACCGGUGGCGAAAGCGGCUUACUGGGUCUCUUCUGACGCUGAGGCACGAAAGCUAGGGUAGCGAA